UGAAAGUGACAGUUAAUAGGCAGAGCUGUGGUCUUAGUCCAGUUAAUGGCGUAAUCCGAUAAUGAUGAGUAGUUAUUUAUAAGUGUGAUCGUCUGGUAGAGAGAUGUUUUUGAGUUCUGAAG
Molecule: long non-coding RNA, 122 nt
Organism: Sphaeramia orbicularis (orbiculate cardinalfish)
Lineage: Eukaryota; Metazoa; Chordata; Actinopteri; Kurtiformes; Apogonidae
Exons: 3
Source: RefSeq, a predicted model, not a curated record